UAGUGUUAAGGGGAGGAGGACUGCUGACUGUGUUCUUGGAGACUCAGCACUGGAAUCCAAAAGAACCGCAUUUUUUGUCUUCCAGAGAAGAAAGCUGGCAUCAGUGUUUAAAGCAGUGGUCCUCAACCUUUGGUUCCUGGACGCCUGAGGCCCGUGAGCCAUAGAUUGUGGGUCAGUGAAGAAAAUGUAAAUAAAUCAAUAAAGAACUGUUGAAGGCCACUGAAAACAGCUAUCUGCAGCAAGGGUUAUUGGACCAGCCAAGGACGAG
Long non-coding RNA from Girardinichthys multiradiatus, 268 nucleotides. RefSeq lists it as uncharacterized. NCBI's taxonomy places the organism in Eukaryota, Metazoa, Chordata, Actinopteri, Cyprinodontiformes, Goodeidae. The transcript is spliced from 3 exons. The record is from RefSeq and is a predicted model, not a curated record.